This 72-nucleotide transfer RNA is filed under the name Trichonephila clavata. It matches the Rfam family "tRNA". Rfam says of the family: Transfer RNA (tRNA) molecules are approximately 80 nucleotides in length. Their secondary structure includes four short double-helical elements and three loops (D, anti-codon, and T loops). Further hydrogen bonds mediate the characteristic L-shaped molecular structure. tRNAs have two regions of fundamental functional importance: the anti-codon, which is responsible for specific mRNA codon recognition, and the 3' end, to which the tRNAs corresponding amino acid is attached (by aminoacyl-tRNA synthetases). tRNAs cope with the degeneracy of the genetic code in two manners: having more than one tRNA (with a specific anti-codon) for a particular amino acid; and 'wobble' base-pairing, i.e. permitting non-standard base-pairing at the 3rd anti-codon position. The record is from Rfam by way of RNAcentral. Lineage: Eukaryota; Metazoa; Arthropoda; Arachnida; Araneae; Nephilidae.
AUCCCUGUAGCGCAAUGGAUAGUGCGUUGGACUUCUAAUCCAAGGUCAUGGGUUCGAAUCCCACCUAGGAUG